Molecule: long non-coding RNA, 402 nt
Organism: Haliotis rubra (blacklip abalone)
Lineage: Eukaryota; Metazoa; Mollusca; Gastropoda; Lepetellida; Haliotidae
Exons: 3
Source: RefSeq, a predicted model, not a curated record
CGGGUCCUGUCAUCGGACGGCGUGAAGCCUCAGGUUGUUUUCAAUGCUGCGGAACUAACGAAUGUAAUGCUGGACUGUGUGCUCAUCAACCAUCGACAACACCACAUACUAGCCUUCCUGUUGGUGUCGUUGAUCACUGCAAGUCGGACCCUUGCCAGAACGGCGGAUCCUGCUAUGAGAGGGUGGAUGGUUUCGUGUGUGAGUGCACGGCCGGGUUCACUGGUCUUCACUGCGAUAUUACUGAUAUGUGUGCUUCGGAUCCCUGUCUGCAUGGAGGCAAAUGUCUCGAUACUAAAACAAGUUACGUCUGUGACUGCACCGGUACUGGUUACGAUGGCUUCACGUGUCACCUGCCCUACAACGACUGUCAGUCACAACCCUGUCUCCACGGCGCCACGUGUG